GCCUCACGGAGCACAUUCUGAUAGGACUAA
RNAcentral lists this small RNA (30 nucleotides) under Bombyx mori (domestic silkworm). Its description in RNAcentral is "ovarian small RNA-16726". Lineage: Eukaryota; Metazoa; Arthropoda; Insecta; Lepidoptera; Bombycidae. The record is from RNAcentral.